This 1070-nucleotide long non-coding RNA is filed under the name Gallus gallus (chicken). RNAcentral describes it as "lncRNA (ENSGALG00010025038.1)". Lineage: Eukaryota; Metazoa; Chordata; Aves; Galliformes; Phasianidae. The record is from RNAcentral.
AAUGAAGGGAGUUCAGCUCAUACAACACACUUUCAAUAGGGUACUGUACUCUAUAUUUCCAGGUUCUGUUUUAAUUACACUUGCAUAUUACCUUGGAGGAAGCUGAAAUCUGGAAAAUGUUUUCUCAUAUACCAUGUCUUAAACCUUCCUGACCUUCUGUUUUAUACCAAGUACAUUUAUGCUUGCGAUCAAAACCAUAUAAUAUGGGGAAGGGCUUGGCUAUCCGGAGUAAUCUAUCAGGGGCAUGCUGUCAGUCCCCCCUAGCAAAGACUGAGCAAUUCUCACUGAGAAACACCCCCACCACCAUCCAGCAGUAAGUCCCUCUUCCCCCUUCACGCACUCCCAGCAAGAGCUACAGGAGUGGGCCAGGCUGGGAGCAGGGCAGCAAGCAGCCUUUCCCUGCGGUGGCUGGGGCUCCUGCUGCUCUGAAGCAUCCUGGAGGGACUAAGCAAUGGGAUGGCUCACAUAGCAUCAGUGCAUUGCCCGUACCGCAAUAAGAACAUCAGUGCCUCCUACCACUGCUGGGCUGGGGAGGUGAGCAGCAUCCACACUGCCAGCACUGGAGGCUGCAGUGCCGAACGCAGCUUGACGCCCAGCACCGAGGUCUGCUUGUGACAGCCAGCGUUCUCCAGGGAGAGCAGGGUGCCUGUGAGCACUGCUGACUGGAUAACAAAACCCAUACCAAUCACAUCUCUGUUACAGAGCAGCAUUCAUGUCACCUUCAGAUCCAUGACAACGGGAGCGCAUAUUGAUCUUCACAUCUCUACGUGUCUGGAGAGUGCCCCAAGAAAAACGGGUUUAGCAAAUACGUGUUUGCAGGAGAGGAUCUGUCAGUCCUCUGCCCAAGGCUUGGUCAGCAUUUUGGAAGUACAGACUGCUGUCUUUAAUCCCUUGCUGAAGAGCUCUCUCCCCCUGGCAGCCCAGGAAGGUGUUGAGAAAUGCUGCCAGGCACCGGUCUGCUCCCGGGGCUGCUGCUGACACAGCUCGUGAGCUGCUGCCUUGUCUCAGCACCUCGUCCUAAAAAACAAGGCAACUUUUACUUCUAACAGGAAUAAAAUAAAUCCUGUCAG